UGAGAGGGGUUUAUUCGGAAUUACUGGGCGUAAGCGCACGCAGGCGGUUUGUUAAGUCAGAUGUGAAAUCCCCGGGCUCAACCUGGGAACUGCAUCUGAUACUGGCAAGCUUGAGUCUCGUAGAGGGGGGUAGAAUUCCAGGUGUAGCGGUGAAAUGCGUAGAGAUCUGGAGGAAUACCGGUGGCGAAGGCGGCCCCCUGGACGAAGACUGACGCUCAGGUGCGAAAGCGUGGGGAGCAAACAGGAUUAGAUACCCUGGUAGUCCACGCCGUAAACGAUGUCGACUUGGAGGUUGUGCCCUUGAGGCGUGGCUUCCGGAGCUAACGCGUUAAGUCGACCGCCUGGGGAGUACGGCCGCAAGGUUAAAACUCAAAUGAAUUGACGGGGGCCCGCACAAGCGGUGGAGCAUGUGGUUUAAUUCGAUGCAACGCGAAGAACCUUACCUGGUCUUGACAUCCACGGAAGUU
This 467-nucleotide ribosomal RNA is filed under the name uncultured Shigella sp. RNAcentral describes it as "bacterial SSU rRNA". It matches the Rfam family "Bacterial small subunit ribosomal RNA", at positions 531 to 998 of the family's 1533-position model. Lineage: Bacteria; Pseudomonadati; Pseudomonadota; Gammaproteobacteria; Enterobacterales; Enterobacteriaceae. The record is from RNAcentral.